This is a long non-coding RNA of Coregonus clupeaformis (lake whitefish), 203 nucleotides long. RefSeq lists it as uncharacterized. The transcript has 3 exons. The record is from RefSeq and is a predicted model, not a curated record. NCBI's taxonomy places the organism in Eukaryota, Metazoa, Chordata, Actinopteri, Salmoniformes, Salmonidae.
GAGCUGGCUUUCCAGUAUGAGACGUUAUAUGACUACCAAAGCCUCAGCUGGAUAAGGAAAAUGGAAGCAGCGUACUAUGAGAACAUAAUGGAGCAGCAGCGUCUAGAGCCAGAGUUCUUCAGGAUGGGAUUCUACGGGCGCAAGUUCCCCUUCUUCCUCAGAAACAAGGAGUUUGUCUGCCGCGGUCAUGACUACGAACGCCA